Molecule: long non-coding RNA, 961 nt
Organism: Tigriopus californicus
Lineage: Eukaryota; Metazoa; Arthropoda; Copepoda; Harpacticoida; Harpacticidae
Exons: 4
Source: RefSeq, a predicted model, not a curated record
AUUUGGCAGGAAUUGACCCGGAUCAACCACGACGUUUUUUCAAUCUGAAGACACUCUGGACUCGAUGACCAUCACCUUUUUCGCCUGGGGCUCCUUUGAGGUCAAUGCAAUCAUUCACGAAGACGACAGAGUAUUCAACUUGGCGCCUUGCGACCAAAAAUGGCGGCGAUUGUCACGUUCUAGCCGAGGAAGACCCGGAUCUGUUCAAUGUGGAGGAGACCUCGACCAACUCCACAAUGAGGGACUUGGAGUUGAUGACCAAGACCACCAUAGAGCAACUCACCGAUUUGGAGGACCGACAAGAGCAAGGUCGAUUCUAACAAGAUGCUGAUGGGACGUAUGUGGCCACCAUCAAGAUGUAUUACACAAGGGAAUUUGCCCAAGUAGAACCGAACGUGAAUGCCUUCAUCUCCAACAUGCUCAGUCAAGCCAAUGCGUGCUUUCGUAACUCGAAAACCCAACUUCGUUUGCAAUUGCUAUGUAUCCAGCAACUGAAUACACAUCACUGAAAAUCGAGAUCCGGGGCGAAUUUUGACCCAAUUUGUCAACAUAAAAGGAACCCCAGCCAAUCUGCGAGGAACGGCCGAUUUCGCCCAUCUCCUUGUGCGAGAGACUGAUCCAAGUAAUUGCGGAAUUGCCUACGUCGGGAGCACACAAGUUCCGUUUGGGGUGUCCAAGAGAAUUUGUGCCGUUGGUGCUUACACCUUUAGCCACGAGAUUGGACAUAACUUGGGAUGCAGACACGACCGUGCCAAUUCACCCAAUGCUGAUCCCAAUGGCUAUGCAUUCGGUUACCUGAUCCCUGGGACGAGCUACCGCACCACAAUGGCGUAUUGGGAUCCUAACCAUCGAGCAAAAGCGAACCUUUACUCCAACCCAAGUGUGAGAAUCAAAAUUUCCUUGCUGGAAAUGCCCAGAAUGACUGUGCCCGCAAGAUCCGAGCAAAUGCCGUACAUUUGCC